Molecule: ribosomal RNA, 705 nt
Filed under: Triticum aestivum (bread wheat)
Lineage: Eukaryota; Viridiplantae; Streptophyta; Magnoliopsida; Poales; Poaceae
Description: partial small subunit ribosomal RNA
Source: RNAcentral
AUGAGCCGUCUUAGACACCGCAACAUCGUCCAGCUCAUCGGCUGGUACCGUUGCCGGAGAUCACUACCGAUUGUCUACGAGCUCGUCUCCGGAGGCAGCCUUGACACCCAUCUCUACAGUCCUGGCAGACCCUUGACGUGGCCCGAUUGGUACAAGAUCGCGCUCGGCCUGGGCUCCGCCUUGCGGUUCAUCCACCCGGAAUGCGACCAGUGCAUCAUGCACGGCGACAUCAAACCCGCAAACGUGAUGCUCGACGCGUCGCGCAACGCCAAGCUCGGCGACUUCGCGCUAGCGAGCCUCGUUGACCACUGAGCCGAGCCACACACAACGCAGGUCGUUGUGGGAACCCUCGGGUACAUCGACCCGGAGUUUGUCAGCAGCCGCAGGCUGAGCACCGAGUCCGACAUGUACAGUUUCGGCAUCGUGCUCCUCAAGAUCGCCUGCGGCCGGCGACCAACGUAGAGGCGGCCAGAUCAUCAGGCCUCGGUGGCGCUGCUGGCCUCGGUCCGUGGCAUGUACCACCGAAACCGGAUCGUCGACGCGCCUGAUCGGAGGCUGGAUGGCGAGUUUGACAGGCUGCAGAUGGAGCGUCUACUCGUCACAGGGCUCUGGUGCGUGCACCACGACCCGAUGCAGCGGCCGUCCGUUGCGGGCAGGCUAUGGAUGUGCUACGAUCUAGAGACGCAAAGUUGUCUGUGCUUGUAG